This 504-nucleotide ribosomal RNA is filed under the name uncultured bacterium. RNAcentral's name for it is "bacterial SSU rRNA". It matches the Rfam family "Bacterial small subunit ribosomal RNA", at positions 411 to 896 of the family's 1533-position model. The record is from RNAcentral.
AAGGCCUUCGGGUCGAAAACCACUGUCAGUGGGAAAGAUGGGUGUCGGUGUUAAUACCACCGGCAUCUGACGGUACCUGCAGAGGAAGCCCCGGCCAACUCUGUGCCAGCAGCCGCGGUAAGACAGAGGGGGCAAGCGUUGCUCGGAAUUACUGGGCGUAAAGGGCGCGUAGGCGGGAUGGCAAGUCGGUCGUGAAAUCCCUCGGCUCAACCGAGGAACGUCGAUCGAUACUGCCGUUCUUGGAGGAUUGCAGAGGAGACUGGAAUUCCCGGUGUAGGGGUGAAAUGUGUAGAGAUCGGGAGGAACACCGGUGGCGAAGGCGGGUCUCGUGGGCAAUUCCUGACGCUGAGGCGACGAAAGCGGUGGGGAGACGAAACGGGUAUUAGACUACCCCGGUAGUCCACGCUAGUAAACGAUGAGCACUAGGUGUGGGGGGGUUCAGUCCCUUCCGUGCCGCAGCUAACGCAUUAAGUGCUCCGCCUGGGGAGUACGGCCGCAAGGUUG